Molecule: ribosomal RNA, 256 nt
Filed under: uncultured bacterium
Lineage: Bacteria
Description: partial 16S ribosomal RNA
Rfam family: Bacterial small subunit ribosomal RNA
Source: RNAcentral
UACAGAGGGUGCGAGCGUUGUCCGGAAUCACUGGGCGUAAAGGGCGCGUAGGUGGCGUCGCAAGUCGAUGGUGAAAGCUCGGCGCUCAACGCCGAGUCGGCCCCUUGAUACUGCGAGGCUGGAGCACUGUAGAGGCUAAUGGAAUUCCGGGUGUAGCGGUGGAAUGCGUAGAGAUCCGGAAGAACACCGGUGGCGAAGGCGGUUAGCUGGGGCAGUUGCUGACACUGAGGCGCGAUAGCGUGGGGGAGCAAACAGG